This 216-nucleotide long non-coding RNA is filed under the name Homo sapiens (human). RNAcentral's name for it is "non-protein coding lnc-NKX6-1-6:1". The record is from RNAcentral. Lineage: Eukaryota; Metazoa; Chordata; Mammalia; Primates; Hominidae.
CUGAAAGGCUGAGUGGUGGGAACCAAGAAGCAAGUGCUCACCCUCUAGAAGUCUUUGCUGGUGCAGACCAAAUGGCGGGUUCUGGAGAAGAUUGACCUUAAGUUCAUAGACACCACCUCCAAGUUUGGCCAUGGCUGCUUCCAGACCAUAGAAGAGAAGAAAGCGUUCAUGGAACCACUCAAGAAAGAUCGAACUGCAAAAGAAGAAUGAGCUUAA